Molecule: transfer RNA, 65 nt
Filed under: Acanthobdella peledina
Lineage: Eukaryota; Metazoa; Annelida; Clitellata; Acanthobdellida
Description: tRNA-Leu
Source: RNAcentral
UAAUAGGUUGGCAGAUUAGUGCAAAUAUUUUAGGAGUAUUAAAAGAUUAAAUUAAUCACCUAUUA